RNAcentral lists this ribosomal RNA (486 nucleotides) under uncultured bacterium. RNAcentral describes it as "bacterial SSU rRNA". It matches the Rfam family "Bacterial small subunit ribosomal RNA", at positions 28 to 513 of the family's 1533-position model. The record is from RNAcentral.
GAUGAACGCUGGCGGCGUGCCUAACACAUGCAAGUCGAACGGAGCUGCUUUGAUGAAGUUUUCGGAUGGAUUUAAAACAGCUUAGUGGCGGACGGGUGAGUAACGCGUGGGUAACCUGCCUCACACUGGGGGAUAACAGUUAGAAACGACUGCUAAUACCGCAUGACACAUUGGGGUCGCAUGGCUCUGAUGUCAAAGAUUUAUCGCUGAAAGAUGGCCUCGCGUCUGAUUAGCUAGUUGGUGAGGUAACGGCCCACCAAGGCGACGAUCAGUAGCCGGACUGAGAGGUUGACCGGCCACAUUGGGACUGAGAUACGGCCCAGACUCCUACGGGAGGCAGCAGUGGGGAAUAUUGCACAAUGGGGGAAACCCUGAUGCAGCGACGCCGCGUGAGCGAAGAAGUAUUUCGGUAUGUAAAGCUCUAUCAGCAGGAAGAAAAAAUGACGGUACCUGACUAAGAAGACCCCGGCUAACUACGUGCCAGCA